Molecule: long non-coding RNA, 201 nt
Filed under: Gossypium barbadense (sea-island cotton)
Lineage: Eukaryota; Viridiplantae; Streptophyta; Magnoliopsida; Malvales; Malvaceae
Description: long non-coding RNA (GBAR_LNC003967)
Source: RNAcentral
CGUACACCUUUCCACAUGUUUUCAAAAACAUUCUCCCCAUUAAAAGCUUACCUUGAGAAAGAUUGGCCAAAGGAUGUCACCGAAAGCAUUGGGUUUCAGUUUUUCAGAACCUUCAUACCGAAGAUAUAACUUGGAGAGCACCAUGGAACCGUCCUUCAGUUCUAUUAUACAAAUGUGGAAGCCAAGAUUGGGUGCCUUUAC